GGUCAUGAGUGCCAGCAUCAAGCCCCGGCUCGCUGGCCGGCAACCCUCCAUCCGCGGUGGGGUGCCCCGGGUGAUGACCUGGUUCUCCGCACAGUGGAGGACAAGCGCGGGUC
RNAcentral lists this non-coding RNA (113 nucleotides) under Rhodococcus sp. (in: high G+C Gram-positive bacteria). RNAcentral describes it as "Rhodococcus sp. SAM-IV sequence". It matches the Rfam family "SAM (S-adenosyl methionine) riboswitch aptamer". Rfam says of the family: SAM-IV is a mRNA element that regulates gene expression via direct sensing of S-adenosylmethionine (SAM or AdoMet). SAM-IV riboswitches share conserved nucleotide positions with the previously described SAM-I riboswitches sequence analysis and molecular recognition experiments suggest that SAM-I and SAM-IV riboswitches share similar ligand binding sites, but have different scaffolds. The record is from RNAcentral. Lineage: Bacteria; Bacillati; Actinomycetota; Actinomycetes; Mycobacteriales; Nocardiaceae. RNAcentral also lists the same sequence under 1 other name.